Molecule: long non-coding RNA, 352 nt
Filed under: Aotus nancymaae (Ma's night monkey)
Lineage: Eukaryota; Metazoa; Chordata; Mammalia; Primates; Aotidae
Description: lncRNA (ENSANAG00000038563.1)
Source: RNAcentral
CCUGACACCUCCUGCAGAUCUGAGCAGCUGCGCGUUGAACUGGAUAGUCUUGGAAUGUGGGACAACAGAGGCAGACUCAAGAGUCUGGAACAUGGUUUUAGGAUCACACAGAAAGAUACAUGAUUUUCAUAGAAUAUAUCUUAAGACAAAGAAUUGCAGAUUGGCAUCGUAUUUUCCAUCUAAGCGCAUGCUCAAGGGAACUCAGAAAAUCUGUUACCUGCAUAAUGAUUAUCAUCAUCCCUGGAUGUGGAAACAAAGGCUGAAAGGGAGAAGAAGACAUGGUUUCCUGAUAGCAGAGCUCGGGUGGACACCAGAUUUUUCCACUCCAGAUCCUGCUUUCUGCUUAUGCUGA